This 411-nucleotide unclassified non-coding RNA is filed under the name Hevea brasiliensis (rubber tree). The record is from RNAcentral. Lineage: Eukaryota; Viridiplantae; Streptophyta; Magnoliopsida; Malpighiales; Euphorbiaceae.
UGGAAUAACUAAUUCCGUUUAAAAUAUCUGAGCUCAUACAAAACCUAAAAAGCCUAAAAUCAAGACAAAUUGAACUCCUAGCAAAGCAACAAAUUAUGCUAGCAACUUGCUGCCGCAUAUGUUACAGUUGACCUCAACUCUCUCAAUAUCUAAAACUACAACUAAAACUUUAAAUUGGACAACAAAAAGAAAGAAAUAAGAAACUGAAAAGGAGCAUUCAUCACCAUCUCAAUUUGCCAAGCUAUCCAAGAAGCUUUGCAACUCCCUUAAACCCUCAGCAGAGAAGCUCCUAUGCACUCUCGAGCGUGGGGCAACCAAGUUAGGGGGAGGCUCAGAUCUGAAGCACACCACAACAACAGCUAAAUUGUCCCCACUCUUCCUCUUCAAAGCUUCAUCAACCAGAUCUUUGCU